GUAGCUCAGGAAUGCCAAUCAUUCAACUCUAUUUUGUUGUCUUUUUCAAAGGGUGAUUAGUUCAAUUAUUGGGCCUAAUCAGUGCUGACAAUUCAAAUAGGCUUGAUAACUUUACUCAUCAGCCACCUUCAUGGAUAGAGAAAGAACACCCAGUUCAAAGCAUUGGGCAAAGUGUGAUGCGUGCUUAGGUUAAUGAGAAGGUGGCAUAACCUCAUCUUAUGGAGCCACAUCUUUAUGAUGACAUCCAUGGGGUCGUGUGUAACUCAUUGAGCUUGUGUAACUACAUCUAUCAAACCCCCCAAAUCUAUUCGUGCUCAAGAACCCUAACUUUUUUAUUUCAUUCAAAAACCAAAUCUGUGUGUGAUGCACUUGCAAAAUGCAGCAGCAACAAAGAAAACGAGUUUUUUUUUCCAUUACGAUUUAGCUAAACCUUUAAUGAAUUCACAUUGCAUGGAAAGAAAAUGAAAAGAGCACGGGCGUACUCGUGGUGAAUGCCGGCGAUGAUCUCCUUCCCACGCCGCCGGCAGCAUCUCCUCUCUCCCUCUCCCCCUCUAUCUGCACUUGGUGUUCGCCGCGGGCAAUUGCUGCUUGUUCUCGCCGGUGGCUUGGGAAUACCAUUUUGUACUCAUCGACGCCUGCGACGGUAGCACAAUUCGAUUCGGCUCGAUAUUAAGCCGGAUUCUAGGAUUAGGGUUUUCUGACUGCGGUGAGAUGGGGCAACAGUCGUUGACCUACAGCUUCGUGGCGCGCGGGACGGCAUUCCUGGCGGAGCACACGGAGGUCGCCGGCAACUUCAACAGCAUCACCGCCAGCAGAGGCUCCUCUCCAGCAACAAAAAGUUUUCCUCAUCGAGGACGGAUACGGGAUACAGUGAGCUCCCUUGUGGCUUUGGUCAAAUUCAGCAAUUAUACUCUUUAAAGGAAAAAGUAGCUCGCCAAAUAGAAUUCUGAUGUUGGCGUUCCAAAAAUAACAUUCAUACAUGGAGGUGAUAGUCAGCAGCAACAAAAACAAAAACAAAAAAGCACGAUGCAAGUUCGACCAUGUACAGGCGUCCUGUUGUUAGAUAUGGUCAGCAAGCACAGGGAGAAGAUGUGAUUGUGUUCCAUGGCAGUUUUCACAGAGUUUAUACAACAAAACUGAUGGAGAAGCCGUAGGGUGUUUAACCUUUUAUGACUGCAACUUCCAUAGGCAUCGUGCUGAUCCUGUCAUGUGUUGGGCAAGGUAGCUUUUCCAUCACUAGCCUUACUGCCAACAUGAGCACAAAAGAAACAAUGAAAGAAUUCUUUGUUAAGUAAGCAGCAUGACACCAGCAUCACUAGCCCUUGCAUCUCUUUGGUGUCAUCUCAUGUUACAGCAUUGAGGCUUUCCUGCUUGCAAUUUAUCCCACAUGCAUGUCAUUUGCCUUGGAGACUGGUAAUGUGCAGUGUAGUAACCGUCAAUGCAUCCGAACUGGCAGAACUUGAGGCUGUGAACGUAUUCAAUUGCUCUGGAGUUAUUGAACUGCUCGAGCCACAUGCCCAUGCUCACAUCUUCCAUUUUAAACAACUGCAUCAGUUUUGAAUUUGAAGAUCAUGCAUCAUAUCAUACUUCCAUCAUUAUAAAGGAAGAGGAAGAAGAAUUAGCAAAAAGGAACAAAACAAAAAGUAACCAUAAUGGAAAGCUCAUCAUCAGGAAGUCAUAUUCGUCACAACUAUUGAAUUCAACUACACAAUGUCAUAUGGCUUUUAUUCAAGACUAUAUCCCCAAUAAUAUUCAAAUUCAUUUUUUAUUCCA
This is an RNA transcript of Zingiber officinale, 1773 nucleotides long. RefSeq lists it as uncharacterized. Lineage: Eukaryota; Viridiplantae; Streptophyta; Magnoliopsida; Zingiberales; Zingiberaceae. The transcript is spliced from 4 exons. The record is from RefSeq and is a predicted model, not a curated record.